This 431-nucleotide ribosomal RNA is filed under the name uncultured bacterium. RNAcentral describes it as "bacterial SSU rRNA". It matches the Rfam family "Bacterial small subunit ribosomal RNA", at positions 28 to 486 of the family's 1533-position model. The record is from RNAcentral.
GAUGAACGCUGGCGGCGUGCCUAACACAUGCAAGUCGAGCGAUCUUCUUCGGAAGAGAGCGGCGGACGGGUGAGUAACGCGUGGGUAACCUGCCCUGUACACACGGAUAACAUACCGAAAGGUAUGCUAAUACGGGAUAACAUAAGAAAUUCGCAUGUUUUUCUUAUCAAAGCUCCGGCGGUACAGGAUGGACCCGCGUCUGAUUAGCUAGUUGGUGAGGUAACGGCUCACCAAGGCGACGAUCAGUAGCCGACCUGAGAGGGUGAUCGGCCACAUUGGAACUGAGACACGGUCCAAACUCCUACGGGAGGCAGCAGUGGGGAAUAUUGCAUAAUGGGCGAAAGCCUGAUGCAGCAACGCCGCGUGAGCGAUGAAGGCCUUCGGGUCGUAAAGCUCUGUCCUCAAGGAAGAUAAUGACGGUACUUGAGGAG